This 433-nucleotide ribosomal RNA is filed under the name uncultured bacterium. Its description in RNAcentral is "partial 16S ribosomal RNA". It matches the Rfam family "Bacterial small subunit ribosomal RNA", at positions 29 to 507 of the family's 1533-position model. The record is from RNAcentral.
AACGAACGCUGGCGGCAGGCCUAACACAUGCAAGUCGAGCGAGGACUUCGGUCCUAGCGGCGGACGGGUGAGUAACGCGUGGGAACGUGCCCUUUGCUUCGGAAUAGCCCUGGGAAACUGGGAGUAAUACCGGAUGAGCCCUUUGGGGGAAAGAUUUAUCGGCGAAGGAUCGGCCCGCGUUGGAUUAGGUAGUUGGUGGGGUAAUGGCUUACCAAGCCGACGAUCCAUAGCUGGUUUGAGAGGAUGAUCAGCCACACUGGGACUGAGACACGGCCCAGACUCCUACGGGAUGCAGCAGUGGGGAAUCUUAGACAAUGGGGGAAACCCUGAUCUAGCCAUGCCGCGUGAGCGAUGAAGGCCUUAGAGUUGUAAAGCUCUUUCACCUGGGAAGAUAAUGACGGUACCAACAGAAGAAGCCCCGGCUAACUCCGUG